RNAcentral lists this non-coding RNA (27 nucleotides) under Homo sapiens (human). Lineage: Eukaryota; Metazoa; Chordata; Mammalia; Primates; Hominidae. The record is from RNAcentral.
GGCAGCAGAAUGGUUCACAGUUCUAGA